Molecule: ribosomal RNA, 302 nt
Filed under: uncultured bacterium
Lineage: Bacteria
Description: partial 16S ribosomal RNA
Rfam family: Bacterial small subunit ribosomal RNA
Source: RNAcentral
UAGGGAAUCUUCCACAAUGGACGCAAGUCUGAUGGAGCAACGCCGCGUGAGUGAAGAAGGCUUUCGGGUCGUAAAACUCUGUUGUUGGAGAAGAAUGGUCGGCAGAGUAACUGUUGUCGGCGUGACGGUAUCCAACCAGAAAGCCACGGCUAACUACGUGCCAGCAGCCGCGGUAAUACGUAGGUGGCAAGCGUUAUCCGGAUUUAUUGGGCGUAAAGCGAGCGCAGGCGGUUUUUUAAGUCUGAUGUGAAAGCCCUCGGCUUAACCGAGGAAGCGCAUCGGAAACUGGGAAACUUGAGUGC